UUGCUUUGGCAGACUAGUGCUUUAAAUUUAGAAUUUAAAUAUGUGUAUUUAUACACAAGUAAUACAUU
RNAcentral lists this transfer RNA (68 nucleotides) under Anomala polita. Its description in RNAcentral is "tRNA-Leu". Lineage: Eukaryota; Metazoa; Arthropoda; Insecta; Coleoptera; Scarabaeidae. The record is from RNAcentral.